Molecule: unclassified non-coding RNA, 392 nt
Filed under: soil metagenome
Description: partial contains 5.8S ribosomal RNA, internal transcribed spacer 2, and large subunit ribosomal RNA
Rfam family: 5.8S ribosomal RNA (bases 1-122)
Source: RNAcentral
GAUGAAGAACGCAGCGAAAUGCGAUACUUGGUGUGAAUUGCAGAAUCCCGUGAACCAUCGAGUCUUUGAACGCAAGUUGCGCCCGAAGCCAUUAGGCCGAGGGCACGCCUGCCUGGGCGUCACACGUCGUUGCCCCCCCCAUCUACUCCUUCGGGAUUGCGGGGGGCGGAUGAUGGCCUCCCGUGCGCCUCGCCGCGCGGUUGGCAUAAAUGCCAAGUCCUCGGCGACGCACGCCACGACAAUCGGUGGUUGCGAAACCUCGGUUGCCCGUCGUGUGCGGUCGUCGCGCAUCGAGGGCUCGAAAAAAUUGCCGAGUUCCGGCUCGGCUUUCAACGCGACCCCAGGUCAGGCGGGGUUACCCGCUGAAUUUAAGCAUAUCAAUAAGCGGAGGA